This is a long non-coding RNA of Homo sapiens (human), 585 nucleotides long. Ensembl annotates it as MIR9-1 host gene. Its record names the gene MIR9-1HG. The record is from Ensembl. Lineage: Eukaryota; Metazoa; Chordata; Mammalia; Primates; Hominidae.
CGGAGCCGGAGCGCGCCGGGGCCAGAGCCGCGGCAGAGGCAGAGGAGGGAGCUAGGAGGUGAGACCCGCUCCACCCUGCUCGCCUAGGCUCGGCGGAGGCUAAGAGCAGGGCAGCCUCCUCUGCCCGGCGCCCGCUGAGCCCCGGCAUCUGGAACUCAGGGCCCUGGCGCUCCAGGGGCGGGAACUGGCCGGGAGGACCGCGCGGGAGAGCACGGAUGGGCACCCUGGGCUCGAUACCAAAAAGAAGAAUGUACUUCAUCUGGUUGGGCUGGAUUCCCUCUGAUAAGCCUUCCCAGUUGACUGAAAGAUGAGGCUAGGCUCUAGCAAGUUGAAGUCAAACCAGCUCCUUCAAGAAGCUUUGAGCAGAAUGAAGUGGGGAGGACCCAGCUUCCAGCCCAGGAAGCCCACUGUACCUGGAGCCAUCUGGGAUAAGACUUUGACCCAUGACUCCCAUAUCCACAGCCUGUCCAUCCUAGCCCAUCCCAGUUUAUCCUGUAUCAUUUGAGCUGGGAUUCCCACAUCCUCUGAGUUGGAAGUCCCAUCUCAAGUCUUCAAUAAAGACUCUUGAAUAUUGAAUCACAUUAA